Molecule: transfer RNA, 74 nt
Filed under: Capra hircus (goat)
Lineage: Eukaryota; Metazoa; Chordata; Mammalia; Artiodactyla; Bovidae
Also listed under: 1 other name
Rfam family: tRNA
About the family: Transfer RNA (tRNA) molecules are approximately 80 nucleotides in length. Their secondary structure includes four short double-helical elements and three loops (D, anti-codon, and T loops). Further hydrogen bonds mediate the characteristic L-shaped molecular structure. tRNAs have two regions of fundamental functional importance: the anti-codon, which is responsible for specific mRNA codon recognition, and the 3' end, to which the tRNAs corresponding amino acid is attached (by aminoacyl-tRNA synthetases). tRNAs cope with the degeneracy of the genetic code in two manners: having more than one tRNA (with a specific anti-codon) for a particular amino acid; and 'wobble' base-pairing, i.e. permitting non-standard base-pairing at the 3rd anti-codon position.
Source: Rfam by way of RNAcentral
UCCCUGGUGGUCCAGUGGCUAAGACUCCAUGCUCCCAAAGCAGGGGGGCCCAGGUUCAAUCCCUGGUCAAGGAA